Molecule: unclassified non-coding RNA, 148 nt
Organism: Pongo abelii (Sumatran orangutan)
Lineage: Eukaryota; Metazoa; Chordata; Mammalia; Primates; Hominidae
Rfam family: Metazoan signal recognition particle RNA
About the family: The signal recognition particle (SRP) is a universally conserved ribonucleoprotein. It is involved in the co-translational targeting of proteins to membranes.
Source: Ensembl
GCCGGAUGUGGUGGCAUGCAUCUGUAGUCCCAGCUACUUGGGAUGCUGAGGUGGGAGGAUCACUUGAACCCAGGAGUUCGAGGCUGCAGUGAUUUAUGAUAGAGCCACUGCACUCCAGCCUGGGCAACAGAGUGAGACCCCAUCUCUU